GAGUACUGGUCACUUUUAUUGAACCUAAAGCGUUCGUAGCCGGUUUUGUAAAUCUUCAGAUAAAGCCUGAAGCUUAACUCCAGAAAGUCUGAAGAGACUGCAAGACUUGAGAUCGGGUGAGGUUAAACGUACUUUCAGGGUAGGGGUAAAAUCCUGUAAUCCCGGAAGGACGACCAGUGGCGAAAGCGUUUAACUAGAACGAAUCUGACGGUAAGGAACGAAGGCUANGGUAGCAAACCGGAUUAGAUACCCGGGUAGUCCUAGCUGUAAACAUUGCCCAUUUGAUGUUGCUUUUCCGUUGAGGGAAGGCAGUGUCGGAGCGAAGGUGUUAAAUGGGCCGCUUGGGAAGUAUGGUCGCAAGACUGAAACUUAAAGGAAUUGGCGGGGGAGCACCGCAACGGGAGGAAUGUGCGGUUUAAUUGGAUUCAACGCCGGAAAACUCACCGGGAACGACCUGUGCAUGAGAGUCAACCUGACGAGCUUACUCGAUAGCAGGAGAGGUGGUGCAUGGCCGUCGUCAGCUCGUACCGUAGGGCGUUCACUUAAGUGUGAUAACGAGCGAGACCCACAUCUUUAAUUGCAAAUGUAUAUGAGAAUAUGCAUGCACUUUAGAGAAACCGCCAGCGCUAAGCUGGAGGAAGGAGUGGUCGACGGCAGGUCAGUACGCCCCGA
RNAcentral lists this ribosomal RNA (672 nucleotides) under uncultured bacterium. RNAcentral describes it as "bacterial SSU rRNA". It matches the Rfam family "Archaeal small subunit ribosomal RNA", at positions 486 to 1159 of the family's 1478-position model. The record is from RNAcentral.